UACGGAGGGCGCAAGCUUUGUUCGGAAUUACUGGGCGUAAAGCGCGUGGAGGCGGCCAGGUAAGCCGGAUGUGAAAGCCCGGGGCCCAACCCCGGAACUGCACCCGAUACUGCCCGGCUGGAGUCCCGGAGAGGAUGGCGGAAUUUCCGGUGUAGAGGUGAAAUUCGUAGAUAUCGGAAGGAACACCAGUGGCGAAGGCGGCCAUCUGGACGGUGACUGACGCUGAGACGCGAAAGCGUGGGGAGCAAACAGG
RNAcentral lists this ribosomal RNA (253 nucleotides) under uncultured bacterium. RNAcentral's name for it is "partial 16S ribosomal RNA". It matches the Rfam family "Bacterial small subunit ribosomal RNA", at positions 524 to 776 of the family's 1533-position model. The record is from RNAcentral.